UCCAUAUGCCAUGGGUGCAGCCCUAAAAAGCAAAAAACAACCCCCCAAAAGUAACAGUUCAGAGAUAGAAUUAGCAGAAAAGCCCAAAGUGGUAAGGCCGAGGGCUGCAACCAGUUGAACGCCGAGCUGCCCGGGCCGCCCCCUGGACACGCUGGCGGCCCUCAGCUCCGGGUCCUGUCCCGCUCUGGCUCUCCGCCCUGUCCUGCUUCCUGCCCCUCUCAGACGGCAGGGCCACCCCCCCGGGGGGCGUCGGUCAGCCUCCAGCCCUCCUCCAUCAACCUGAAAAGGUCGUCGAUAUUCCGACUACUUCCACUCUGUGGUUCUGACCCCCCUGGUCUCCCAGAUGCACGGCCUGGACUCUGCUUCCCACGGGCACCUCCACCCGCACAUCCGAGGGCAUCUCGAAUCCCACGCCGAUUCUCAUCACAGCAGCCAGAGCAACCCAUUUCCAGCCAAAGUCUCCUCCAGUGAACCCCACUGAGCCGCCACACCUCACCUCAGUUUACAGAACACAGGGGACAGAGGAACCUGUGGACACCAGGAGGCAACCAGCCGAAACCGGCAUCUGGGGACUCCACCACCAAGCAUCCGAGGGGUCUUCAACCACAAGUGGAGGGGAACCUGGGAGGAGGCGCUGGGAGCAAGGACGGGGUGAGGCUCACAUCAGGCAGACGAGACCGAUGGGCUAGAAGCCACGUGGAAAGUGCUCUUUUAGACACGAGGGUGCGAGGGACUGAGCACUAGACCACAUCGGGGAGCUGUUCACGCUCACCACACACGCACAGGCUCAGAGCUCAUGCUCAGGAUUCACUAAAUUCCAACUUUGAUAAAAAGAAAAGCCUACGAGGA
Phacochoerus africanus (Common warthog) is the source of this 849-nucleotide long non-coding RNA. RefSeq lists it as uncharacterized. The transcript is spliced from 2 exons. The record is from RefSeq and is a predicted model, not a curated record. Lineage: Eukaryota; Metazoa; Chordata; Mammalia; Artiodactyla; Suidae.